UUCGGGAUGCGGAUCCUGGGCUCAGAUUGAAACGCUGGGCGGCAUGCCCUNACACAUGGCAAGUCGAACCGGCAGGCACAGCCAGUAGCAAUACCUGUGGGUGGGCGAGUGGCGGACGGGUGAGUUAUGCAUCCGGGACCUACCUAGACGUGGGGGAUCAACGUAGGGAAACUUACGCUAAUACCGCAUACGUCCCUACGGGAGAAAGUCGGGGGAUCUUCCGGACCUCCGCGCGGUUAGACGGACCGAUGUUCCGAUUAGCUAGUUGGUAGGGUAAUGGCCUACCAAGGCGACGAUCCGAUAGCUGGUCCUGAGAGGAUGAUCAGCCACACUGGAACUGAGACACGGUCCCAGACUCCCUACGGGAGGCAGCAGUGGGGAAUAUUGGACAAUGGGCGUCAAGCCUGAUCCAGCAAUGCCGCGUGUGUGAAGAAGGCCUUCCGGGUUGUAAAGCACUUUUAUCCAGGAGCGAAAUACUACUGG
This 483-nucleotide ribosomal RNA is filed under the name Dyella sp. HPML107. RNAcentral's name for it is "bacterial SSU rRNA". It matches the Rfam family "Bacterial small subunit ribosomal RNA", at positions 1 to 460 of the family's 1533-position model. Lineage: Bacteria; Pseudomonadati; Pseudomonadota; Gammaproteobacteria; Lysobacterales; Rhodanobacteraceae. The record is from RNAcentral.